RNAcentral lists this long non-coding RNA (4701 nucleotides) under Heterocephalus glaber (naked mole-rat). RNAcentral's name for it is "lncRNA (ENSHGLG00000047586.1)". The record is from RNAcentral. Lineage: Eukaryota; Metazoa; Chordata; Mammalia; Rodentia; Bathyergidae.
GACCUUGUGGUUGUGAGCCAGAUGCAGUGCCACUGAGUUAAAUCCCCAGCCCAAGAUGUUUUUUUCUUUUUCUUUUUUUUUUUUGGUACCGGGGAUCGAACUCAGGACCUUGUGCUUGUGAGGGAGGCGCUGGAACCACUGAGCUAAAUCCCCAGCCCAGGGUUUUUCUAUUUCUGCAAAAGUCAUUGCAAGUUAGAGAGGGAUUGCACUGAAUUUGUUGAUCACUUGGGCAGUCUUGACUUCUGAACAUGCAUUGCCAUUUAUUUAUGUCUUCUUUACUCUCAGCAGUGUUUUAUGAUUCUCAUUGGACAAAUUAGUUACUGCCUAAGUAUUUUAUUCUUUUUGAUGCUAUUAUACUUGGAAUUAGUUUUUGCAGUUUCCUUUUCACAUUGUUUAUUGUUAGUGUUUACAAAUGUAACUGAUAUAUGUGUGUGGCCUUUGUUUCUUGCUACUUUGCUGAAUCCAUUUAUUAGCUUUGACAGUUUAUUUUUGGAUUCUUUCAGUACCAGAAAUUAAACUCCAGGCCCCUUUGCACUGAGCUAUAUCCCCAGCCACCCCCUCCCCCCACUCUUUUUUGAGACAAGGUCUUGAGUUGUCCUGGCUGGGCUCAAACUUGCAGCCCUCCUGUCUCAGCCUCUCAGAGUUCUGGUAUUACAGCUGUGCACUUCAUGGCCAUCUGUUUGUGACCUCUUUACGAUCUUCUAUGUACAAGAUCAUAUCAUCUGUGAGCAGAGAUAAUUUUUAGUUCUUUCUUUCCAAUGUGAAUGCUUUUUAUUUUUUUCUUGCCUAACUGCUGUGGCUAAAGUCUCCAGCACUGUGUUGAACAGGAGGGGCAGGAGUGGCCCUUGCCCCCUUCCUGACCUUAGAGGAAUAGUAUCAGUCUCCACAUUCACUGAGCGAACCCACUGCUCAGGAUUCUCCAUAGAUGGUUUGCACUCUGUUGAGAUGAUUUACUCCUCUUCCGCCUUUGUUGAGUGCUGCUACCAUGAAAGGGUGUUGAAUUUUGUCAAAUCAUUUUUCUGCAUCAGUUGCCACGAUCAUGUGAUUUUUAUUAUUCACUCUGCUAAAGUGAGGUUAUGGUUUGGAUCUAAAAUGGCCCACACAGCCUCAUGUGUUUGGAAGGUGAUUGGACCAUAGCGGCACUAGCUUGGUUUAGGGAAGUAGGGUCUGGUGGCAAGAGGCGGUCCCUGGCUUUAUCUCCCUCCUUGGGUCCUGCUUUGACUCUGUGCUUCCUGUCUGCCAUGAGGUGAGCAGCUCUUCCUCUGCUGUGCCCCUCUCCCAAGCUGUUUCUCCCUUGGACUAGAAACAUGAGCCAAAAUAAUCCUCUCCUCCUUGAAGUUGCCAGUGCUGGGUACUGUGUCUGUGACGAGAAAGUAGCUGAGACAAGAGGUGUAUUACACCAAUGGACUGUCGUGUGGAACCACCCUGGUCAAGGUGAUAGUCCUUUAAUGUGCAGGUGGAUUCAGUAUGUAUUUCGCUGAGGACAUUCACAUAUGAGUUCAUGAGGGUUUGGUCUGUAGAUUUUUCCUCUUGUGGUGUCUUUGCUGCCUUUGGUAUCCAGCUGAGCAUAGCCUCAGAAUGACACAGGAAGUAUUUCCUCCUCUUCUGUUUUCUGAGAGCAUUGUUUUCUAAGCAUUUGGUAGAAUUCAGCACUCAAGCCAGCAGGUCUGGGGCUUUCUUUGUCAGGAGAUUUUUGAUUGCAAAGUCAAUCUCUUUGUUUUUGGUACCGGGGAUCGAACUCGGGUCCUUGCGCUUGCACAGCAGGUGGCAAAACCACUGAGCUAAAUCCCCAGCCUACUAAGUCAAUCUCUUUAUUAGCUGUAGGUCUGUCCGGGUUUUCUAUUUUGUGUGCUUUAGAUUUGGUAGGUUUUGUAUUUCUAGGAACUUAUCCUGUGCUUUCGUGUAAAACAAGAGAUGAAGAUAUGAGUGGAAACAACAAGUCUGGCCCGAGUGCCUGAGAAGCAGCAGGAGAACCUGAGCCUCCUAGAGUGAUCAAGGCCAAGCAGCUGUCUGUGUCCACUACAGGGGCCAGGGAGCCAUGCCCAGGAUGCUCUGUAACAUUAAGGCCGUGGAGGAGCAGGAGGCUCUGUUGGGCCAAGCUGGCUUCUCUGGGGGACCCUGUGAAGGGCUAUUGCCAUAGUGGGACCUUGGGGACCGGGGCAGGGACCCCUCAUCAGAAGCCCCUCUGGCUACGGCCUAUCUGUAGGGGAUGCCUCACUGCCCAUUUGCUUUCCAGGCCUAAGACUUUCAUCUUUGUAUUUCAGCAACAGAACUGCAUCUCAAUAGUGACAGGGAAAUAAAGGCCCGAGCAGCUCCUUUUCCACCCUGGUUUAGCUGUGCAACCUCCGCCCUCAGUGACCGACACCCAGGGCCUGCACGAGCUGCUUUGUCUGCUGUCUUUUCCCACAGGCCACCUCACUCCACAGCGUCACAAACUCCCUGUGUGUCUGGGCUCGGGUGUUCCAGCAGCUUCCUGGACUGAGCAUCUGUGCUGGGCCUUACGAGGCUCCAGCGUGCUGUCUUUGCCUCUGUCCCAGAAGCACCUCCCUUGCCUUGGCCACGUUCCUAUAAGCAGAAUGAUGGCCACCCCGUGGAAGGGCCCUGGUCCUGCAGAAUUCUCCAAGAGGGUUUGCCUUGAGCCCAGGCAUCCCAGGCAGCCCUGGGCAGGGUUCCCCCGGAUGCCAGCAUCUCCUCAGUAGCAGCUGCACCAACAGUGACAUGUGAACAGACUAAGAAGAUGUUCCAGCCAGAUGAUGGAAUUUGCUCAGCCCAACAUGGAGGAGCUUAGGAACACAUGUGGGGUGAAGGAAGCCACACGGAAGACACGACAGGACGUAGGAGUCUAUUUUUAUGAAAGGUCCAGAAUAGAAUGAAGAAAGGAAACCCACAGAGUGCGUGAGGAUGGUUUAAUAAAGCAAAAACCCCAGGAAGAGCGGGAUGGGAGCAGCCAGGCCUCGUGUGGGGGCUGGCAGCGGGGUGGAGGGGCCAGCAGCUUGGUGGACGGAUGGAGGGAUGGCACGGGCUCCAACUCUCCUGCCAGCACCUGCCCCGAGCUGACAGAUGGCCUGUCCCCCGCAGCCCCUCCAGCUUCAUUCCUGCCUGGAGCUGCCCCUCCAGCCCCAGCCCUGGUCCCCUGAGUUCAGCAGCCCUGCAGGGCCCACAGGGGCCACUGCACAGCUCUGGAUGACACUGCUGGCCCCUGUCCCCCAUGUGCACAGACAUCCCCUCCCCAGGCUGGGGUCUCCGCCUGGCACUGCCCAUCGUCUGUCUGGAGCGCUGGCCAGCAGGGUAUGCGGGGGCCUCCUGCUGGACACCGCCCCCCUGCUGGGCACGGGGAUGGAGGAGAAUUAGCUCCUCUCCCCAGGAGCCUCUCCAUGUGGCCUCCUCCCAGAUCACCGUGUGCCCUCUGGGUGGGUGGGUGGCUCCCGGCCCGCUCUGAACAUUGGGCAGCAGGCUUGCCUUCCCAGGAAGGCUGGGCACCCUUGGCAGGCUGCCCUCUGCCCCAUGGCAGCGUUGCUUUGGCAACUGCCAGGACUUACUGUCCCCGGCCUGCCAAGCACAGCUGCGGUGGGUGGCACUGUGGGGCAGGGCUUCUUCCCGGGCCGAGCGGCUCUCUGGGCCAGCUGGGGUGGGCGCAGCCCUCCCCCCUGCAGCUGCACCCCUCUGCACAGACACAGGAGGGGCCACAGCCAGAGGCAGUGUGGAUGGUGGGCUGGGGUCCCAGCCUUGGCCUCCUCUUGCUGCACAUGUGAAGUUGCCCCUUUCGGUGCCUCGGUGUCCCUGUGUUCCCAGGAGGCUCAGCACUGGGGCUCCCCGGCAUGCCGAGGUGCUAUUCAGAGCCGGACAGGAAGAGCUGGGCAUGUGUACGGGGACUGCCCACUGCAGGGGGUGGUCCUGCCAGGCAGGGGUGCCUAGCACAGGUUAGUGCUGAAUCCAGGGCAAAAAUGCUCACAUGGCUAAUUGGGAUUAAAACACUUAUGGGAAGAAUUUAGGAAGGUGCUGGCCCAGUCCCCUGGCGCCUGAGUUCCCCACUCUGCCCUCCUAUAGUUGGUUAAAUUGCCCCCCUGAUAAAAAGGAAAUGUCCAAGUCCUAGCCUCGUACCUGUGAAUAAAGCCGUAGGGAGUUUGGAAACAGAGUCUUUGCAGGUACAAUUAGGACGAGGUCACACUUGGCAGGGUGCAGCUCAGCGGCAGAGUGCUCAUCUGGCACAUGCAAGGCCCUGGCUUCAUCCCCAGUGCUGCACAAAAACAGAAAAGCUGAGGCUGUACUGGCCGAGGGCGGCCCUGACUCCGCUGAAUGGCGGCUAGCAGCUUCUGUGGUCCCAAGCAUACAGUCUGUGAUCCUUUUCCUGGAAGCCACAGGACACUCCCAGUUCCUCCUUGUAAGGCCCUUCUUGCUCCUUGUCCUGCCCCCUAGUCCCCGUCCCUGAGCCCCUGGGUCUCACUCUGUGGAAGGGGACCCUGCUGGGGGCCAGGAGGACCCAUGUAGGAUGUGGGAAGGAAAGACCAUGGCGUCCCCCGCUCCUGGCCCGCACUGCCAGGACAGGAUCCUGAGCAGGAGCAGCCUUGGGCUGCAGAGGGCAACAGCCUUUCUGCUCCUGCCUUUGUUCAAAAUUGUGGGAUUUUGCUCCUCUUGUAUUUUUUACAUGAAUUUUGACUCUUUAAAACACUGCAUUAAAAUAUUGGUCACCUAAUUCACAAA